AGCGCGAGGCGGGAGCGCGAGGCGGGAGCAGGCCGCGACGGGAGAGGCUGGAGAUCGUGGGCUGCUGUGUCUGAGCGCUUCCAGUGAAGAUACAGAGAAAAAUGACACUGAUGCAGUGAUGGCCAGCUGGCAGAAAAUUUUGAGGGGCUAGCACGCUCCAGAAACAUGAAAGCAAUUAACAGGAAACAAUGUGAACAGCGUGGAGAGGUAGCUGCACACUGUACCUGUCUCCAUGGAAUUCAAGUUUCAUCACACAAAGCUCCCAUAAAUGCUGUAACAGGAGAGCAUUCCUAGUAUGUGUUACAUUUUGGAAGGUCUGGCAUAUGACACCCCUCCUGUUUUUCUCCCUCAAACAGCUGUAUAGAACUGAAGAAUUCCUAAAUUGGAAGGGAUCCACAAAGGACCACCCAAAAUUCAAACCAUAUGUCUGAGAGCAGCGUUGGAACACUCCUUGAACUCUGGCAGCCUGAGGCCAUGAUCACUGCCCUGGGGAGCUUGUCCCAGUGCCUGACCACCUUCUGGUGAAGAACCUUUUCCCUAUAUCCAAUCUGACCUUCCCCUGACAAGAUUCCACUGAUAUCUGCUCUCACCAUCUUCUUAUACCACUUCAAGAUUCCCUAAUGUGCAUUUCACAUUACAGUUAAAAUCCUUUAAUUUGUCCUGCUGUCUAUCAGCUGUGGGAUCACCACACUGUCAUAAUAAGAAAAAAAAUUAAUAAAACGAAAAAAAAACCAAACCCACCUCCAAGUAUGCUUGACAAAACCACAUGAAGAAAAGAAUGUUUAUAAAAAAUGUUUUUUACAGAGCACAUUAUUUACUUUAAGUAUUUACUUUUCAGUGAACUAUUGACAUGAUGCAAAAU
Molecule: long non-coding RNA, 862 nt
Organism: Numida meleagris (helmeted guineafowl)
Lineage: Eukaryota; Metazoa; Chordata; Aves; Galliformes; Numididae
Exons: 4
Source: RefSeq, a predicted model, not a curated record